GACGAACGCUGGCGGCGUGCUUAACACAUGCAAGUCGAACGGAAAGGCCCUGCUUGUAGGGUACUCGAGUGGCGAACGGGUGAGUAACACGUGGGUGAUCUGCCCUGCACUUCGGGAUAAGCCUGGGAAACUGGGUCUAAUACCGGAUAGGAGCCAUUUUUAGUGUGAUGGUUGGAAAGUUUUUUCGGUGUAGGAUGAGCUCGCGGCCUAUCAGCUUGUUGGUGGGGUAAUGGCCUACCAAGGCGGCGACGGGUAGCCGGCCUGAGAGGGUGGACGGCCACAUUGGGACUGAGAUACGGCCCAGACUCCUACGGGAGGCAGCAGUGGGGAAUAUUGCACAAUGGGCGCAAGCCUGAUGCAGCGACGCCGCGUGGGGGAUGACGGCCUUCGGGUUGUAAACUCCUUUCGCUAGGGACGAAGCUUUUUGUGACGGUACCUAGAUAAGAAGCACCGGCUAACUACGUG
Molecule: ribosomal RNA, 465 nt
Filed under: uncultured bacterium
Lineage: Bacteria
Description: partial 16S ribosomal RNA
Rfam family: Bacterial small subunit ribosomal RNA
Source: RNAcentral